GUCUGGGGCUUGGUGCUUCUAAAUGCUGCCAGGAGCUGCGCUGGGCAAAGGAUGCCACGGCUGGCACAGGGUGCACGCCACUCAGAGUUUCAUCGACAAAAGUCUCCCUCCCCCUGGCCCUGGGCGCGCUCCACCGAGGGGAGAGCUGGCCAGGCUGUCCCUCCACGGGGCAGCUGGGCCCAGCCCGAAGCGUGGAGAAGCGUGGAGAGCAGAGGCCUAGGACCGGCAGCGCGCAUCGCCUCGGGCCAGGCCUGGGCUCUCUCUGCAGCCGCAAAGGGACAGCAGCUGAGCGCUCUGCGGCAGAGGACGGCUGGGGCCCCUCCACUGCACACAUGUCCCCACCGAGCAGCCUGUUGUCCCCUCGGCAUCAACCCCACGGCCCGCCUGGACAGGAGGCCUGAGCUGGGCCGUGGCUGGGGCGGACGCCUGGCUGAAAGAAGCCCUGCUGCUCCUCAAGGCUUCUCACAUCUUCUUUUCCACUGCUUGGAUCUGGACUCAAUAAGCUCUUUUGUGCGCUGACGCCUAAAGGCUAUGCAGAGUGCCCCCCAAAUAAUGAAUAAACAUUGUCCGAAACUGCACGCACACCUUGGGGAGCUUUGUCAAUGUGCCCAUUGUCUUUGCUGCCAGCACAGGCAUUUCCUGUCACGUAGGGGCCACUGAUGCGGUCAACAAUCAACCACAAUCAACUUUUAGUUGUGCAACUCCCAGCACUGGGGAUGGGGAGUCCAGAGAAAAGCUUCCGCCUGCCUCGGAGUUCAUGUGCAAAGAAGGAAACAGUGGGGACGGGCAAAGGGUCCGUGU
This 801-nucleotide long non-coding RNA is filed under the name Dasypus novemcinctus (nine-banded armadillo). RNAcentral's name for it is "lncRNA (ENSDNOG00000052398.1)". The record is from RNAcentral. Lineage: Eukaryota; Metazoa; Chordata; Mammalia; Cingulata; Dasypodidae.